GUACGGGAGGCAGCAGUAGGGAAUAUUGCAUAAUGGGCGCAAGCCUGAUGCAGCAACGCCGCGUGUGCGAUGAAGGCCUUCGGGUUGUAAAGCACUUUUGGCCGGGAAGAGGAAGGACGGUACCGGUCGAAGAAGCCUCGGCUAACUACGUGCCAGCAGCCGCGGUAAAACGUAGGAGGCGAGCGUUAUCCGGAUUUACUGGGUGUAAAGCGCGUGCAGGCGGUUGGCUAAGUUGGGUGUGAAAGCUCCUGGCUCAACUGGGAGAGGUCGCUCAAGACUGGUCGACUGGAGAGCAGUAGAGGAAGGUGGAAUUCCGGGUGUAGUGGUGAAAUGCGUAGAUAUCCGGAGGAACACCAGUGGCGAAAGCGGCCUUCUGGACUGCAUCUGACGCUCAGACGCGAAAGCUAGGGGAGCAAACGGGAUUAGAUACCCCGGU
This 436-nucleotide ribosomal RNA is filed under the name uncultured bacterium. Its description in RNAcentral is "bacterial SSU rRNA". It matches the Rfam family "Bacterial small subunit ribosomal RNA", at positions 339 to 791 of the family's 1533-position model. The record is from RNAcentral.